GGAAUGAAAGAUACCGGCUCAGUUUGUCAAGAACAUGUUAACACGCUCGUUGGUCAUUUAUCUGCGAGUACCACCAUGGGGUUAAUUAACAGAUACUUGUUUAUUUUGCGGCAUCGCAGUAGUAACAUUUGAGGUCAAUUUCCUAUCACUUUAAUUGGCCAAUUUUAUUAGCGAAUCGUUGAAUUUGUACGACUCGUCCAAUUAAUGCCAAUGUGACAAUAGCUCCAACCCGUUCCUUCGGUGCGAAGCUACAGAUAGAACGGCGGACCAGUUUACUCGAAAAC
This 284-nucleotide long non-coding RNA is filed under the name Mytilus galloprovincialis (Mediterranean mussel). Lineage: Eukaryota; Metazoa; Mollusca; Bivalvia; Mytilida; Mytilidae. The record is from RNAcentral.